AGCGUAGGUUGUUGUUUAAGUGAAAUGUGAAAGCCCGUGGCUCAACUACGGAACUGCAUUUCAUACUGGACGACUAGAGUGCAGGAGGGGUAAGCGGAAUUCCUAGUGUAGCGGUGAAAUGCGUAGAUAUUAGGAAGAACACCGGUGGCGAAGGCGGCUUACUGGACUGUAACUGACACUGAGGCUCGAAAGCGUGGGGAGCAAACA
This 207-nucleotide ribosomal RNA is filed under the name uncultured bacterium. RNAcentral describes it as "partial 16S ribosomal RNA". It matches the Rfam family "Bacterial small subunit ribosomal RNA", at positions 568 to 774 of the family's 1533-position model. The record is from RNAcentral.